RNAcentral lists this ribosomal RNA (245 nucleotides) under uncultured Phyllobacteriaceae bacterium. RNAcentral describes it as "partial 16S ribosomal RNA". It matches the Rfam family "Bacterial small subunit ribosomal RNA", at positions 524 to 768 of the family's 1533-position model. Lineage: Bacteria; Pseudomonadati; Pseudomonadota; Alphaproteobacteria; Hyphomicrobiales; Phyllobacteriaceae. The record is from RNAcentral.
UACGAAGGGGGCUAGCGUUGUUCGGAAUUACUGGGCGUAAAGCGCACGUAGGCGGAUUGUUUAGUGAGGGGUGAAAUCCCAGGGCUCAACCCUGGAACUGCCUCUCAUACUGGCAAUCUCGAGUUCGAGAGAGGUGAGUGGAAUUCCGAGUGUAGAGGUGAAAUUCGUAGAUAUUCGGAGGAACACCAGUGGCGAAGGCGGCUCACUGGCUCGAUACUGACGCUGAGGUGCGAAAGCGUGGGGAG